Molecule: non-coding RNA, 74 nt
Organism: Lacerta agilis (Sand lizard)
Lineage: Eukaryota; Metazoa; Chordata; Lepidosauria; Squamata; Lacertidae
Source: the annotation of a RefSeq genome assembly
GCCUGGGUAGCUCAGUUGGGUAGAGCGUGGUGCUGACAAUGCCAAGGUUGCAGGUUCGAUCCCUGUAUGGGGCA